AAAUAUAAAUUAUACAUGUUAAAAAAAACAAAUAAAACUAUGAUUAAAACAUGCUGCCUAUAAGUAUUAUUCAUGUGUUUUUUAUUCGUAGGAACAUAAUGAUAUAUUAGGUCAUUUAUAUUUAAAUCUUUCCUACAAUAAUGUUAUUAUUAUUCGUUUUUUUUUUUUUUUUUUUUUUUUUGUUUCUGUGCCCACGAUGUCCGCGUAAACGUUACUGGACUAUGGGCCAAAAUUAAAAAUGUACGGAAUAAACAAAACAAAAUCUUGGGA
Molecule: non-coding RNA, 270 nt
Organism: Cinara cedri
Lineage: Eukaryota; Metazoa; Arthropoda; Insecta; Hemiptera; Aphididae
Source: the annotation of a GenBank genome assembly